AAAAAUUUCAUUGCUUCUGUCAUUGACAAAUUAAACAGGAAUAGACGGGGAGCAUCAACUAUAUAACCAUAUGCAGCAGUCAUCGUCCGAAACUAUAGAGGACAGCUGGCUCAUGGGGUAACCCGUAAGGUGGCCUAUUCUUCGGUCUUUGUUGGUGAAGCAGCAGCAUUGGUAACAGCUAUUCAGUUGGCAAGCAGCAUGGGAGCUAUAUCUGUUAUUCAGGAAUCAGAUUCUACCUUCCUCGUUGAUUGCCUUGAGACUCCAAUUCCAAAUUUGCAUUAUAGAUGGGAAUGUCAAGCUUCUCUUCAGACAACUUCCUAGCAUUGUCAUCGUUUACCCAGGGCCCCUUUCAUUGGUGAAGCGCCCAGCAAACAAACCUGUAGAUUGUCUGGCUAAGCUUGCCUUCAAGGGUAAACUUCCACGUGAUUGGCUUCAAGCC
RNAcentral lists this unclassified non-coding RNA (439 nucleotides) under Hevea brasiliensis (rubber tree). The record is from RNAcentral. Lineage: Eukaryota; Viridiplantae; Streptophyta; Magnoliopsida; Malpighiales; Euphorbiaceae.